This 632-nucleotide ribosomal RNA is filed under the name Sphaerellopsis macroconidialis. RNAcentral's name for it is "partial large subunit ribosomal RNA". It matches the Rfam family "Eukaryotic large subunit ribosomal RNA", at positions 195 to 847 of the family's 3401-position model. Lineage: Eukaryota; Fungi; Ascomycota; Dothideomycetes; Pleosporales; Leptosphaeriaceae. The record is from RNAcentral.
ACAGGACGUCACAGAGGGUGAGAAUCCCGUACGUGGUCGCUAGCCUCCGCCGUGUAAAGCCCCUUCGACGAGUCGAGUUGUUUGGGAAUGCAGCUCUAAAUGGGAGGUAAAUUUCUUCUAAAGCUAAAUACUGGCCAGAGACCGAUAGCGCACAAGUAGAGUGAUCGAAAGAUGAAAAGCACUUUGGAAAGAGAGUCAAAUAGCACGUGAAAUUGUUGAAAGGGAAGCGCUUGCAGCCAGACUUGCCUGUAGUUGCUCAUCCGGGCUUUUGCCCGGUGCACUCUUCUACAGGCAGGCCAGCAUCAGUUUGGGCGGUUGGAUAAAGGUCUCUGUCACGUUCCUCUCUUCGGGGAGGCCAUAUAGGGGAGACGACAUACAACCAGCCUGGACUGAGGUCCGCGCAUUUGCUAGGAUGCUGGCGUAAUGGCUGUAAGCGGCCCGUCUUGAAACACGGACCAAGGAGUCUAACAUCUAUGCGAGUGUUUGGGUGUCAAGCCCGAACGCGUAAUGAAAGUGAACGGAGGUGGGAACCCUUGGGUGCACCAUCGACCGAUCCUGAUGUCUUCGGAAGGAUUUGAGUAAGAGCAUGGCUGUUGGGACCCGAAAGAUGGUGAACUAUGCUUGAAUAGGGU